This 1439-nucleotide ribosomal RNA is filed under the name uncultured bacterium. RNAcentral's name for it is "bacterial SSU rRNA". It matches the Rfam family "Bacterial small subunit ribosomal RNA". The record is from RNAcentral.
AGGGUUUGAUCAUGGCUCAGAACGUACGCUGGCGGCACGCCUAAUACAUGCAAGUCGAACGAAGUAGCAAUACUUAGUGGCAGACGGGUGAGUAACAUGUAGGUAUCUUCCCAUUGGUGAGGAAUAACACGAGGAAACUUGUGCUAAUACCUCAUAAGUCUUUACGGAGAAAGCUUUAUGCGCCGAUGGAUGAGCCUGCACUUGAUUAGUUUGUUGGUAGGGUAAUGGCCUACCAAGACAAUGAUCAAUAGCUGAUUUGAGAGGAUGAUCAGCCACAUUGGGACUGAGACACGGCCCAAACUCCUACGGGAGGCAGCAGUAGGGAAUCUUGCACAAUGGGGGAAACCCUGAUGCAGCGAUGCCGCGUGAGUGAAGAAGGCCUUUGGGUUGUAAAGCUCUUUCGUCGGGGAAGAAAAUGACUGUACCCGAAUAAGAAGGUCCGGCUAACUUCGUGCCAGCAGCCGCGGUAAUACGAAGGGACCUAGCGUAGUUCGGAAUUACUGGGCUUAAAGAGUUCGUAGGUGGUUAAAAAAGUUGGUGGUGAAAUCCCAGAGCUUAACUCUGGAACUGCCAUCAAAACUUUUUAGCUAGAGUAUGAUAGAGGAAAGCAGAAUUUCUAGUGUAGAGGUGAAAUUCGUAGAUAUUAGAAAGAAUACCGAUUGCGAAGGCAGCUUUCUGGAUCAUUACUGACACUGAGGAACGAAAGCAUGGGUAGCGAAGAGGAUUAGAUACCCUCGUAGUCCAUGCCGUAAACGAUGUGUGUUAGACGUUGGAAAUUUAUUUUCUGUGUCGCAGCGAAAGCAAUAAACACACCGCCUGGGGAGUACGACCGCAAGGUUAAAACUCAAAUGAAUUGACGGGGACCCGCACAAGUAGUGGAGCAUGUGGUUUAAUUCGAAGAUACGCGCAGAACCUUACCAACACUUGACAUGUUCGUCGCGACUUUAAGAGAUUAAAGUUUUCGGUUCGGCCGGACGAAACACAGGUGCUGCAUGGCUGUCGUCAGCUCGUGUCGUGAGAUGUUGGGUUAAGUCCCGCAACGAGCGCAACCCUCACUUUUAGUUGCCAUCAUUAAGUUGGGCACUCUGAAAGAACUGCCAGUGAUAAGCUGGAGGAAGGUGGGGAUGACGUCAAGUCCUCAUGGCCCUUACGUGUUGGGCUACACACGUGCUACAAUGGCAUUUACAAUAGGAAGCAAGACGGCGACGUUAAGCAAAUCCUAAAAAAAUGCCUCAGUUCGGAUUGUACUCUGCAACUCGAGUACAUGAAGCUGGAAUUACUAGUAAUCGCGGAUCAGCGCGCCGCGGUGAAUACGUUCCCGGGUCUUGUACACACCGCCCGUCACACCAUGGGAGUUGGUUCUACCUUAAGGCAAAGCUUAAUACCUUUGACCACGGUAUAGUCAGCGACUGGGGUGAAGUCGUAACAAGGUAACCGUA